RNAcentral lists this ribosomal RNA (253 nucleotides) under uncultured bacterium. RNAcentral describes it as "partial 16S ribosomal RNA". It matches the Rfam family "Bacterial small subunit ribosomal RNA", at positions 524 to 776 of the family's 1533-position model. The record is from RNAcentral.
UACGUAGGGUGCAAGCGUUGUCCGGAAUUAUUGGGCGUAAAGAGCUCGUAGGCGGUCUGUUGCGUCGGCUGUGAAAACCCGGGGCUCAACCCCGGGCCUGCAGCCGAUACGGGCAGACUAGAGUUCGGCAGGGGAGACUGGAAUUCCUGGUGUAGCGGUGAAAUGCGCAGAUAUCAGGAGGAACACCGGUGGCGAAGGCGGCUCUCUGGACGGUGGCUGACACUGAGGCGCGACAGCGUGGGGAGCAAACAGG